This 725-nucleotide ribosomal RNA is filed under the name Gloeochaete wittrockiana. Its description in RNAcentral is "partial Bacterial large subunit ribosomal RNA". It matches the Rfam family "Bacterial large subunit ribosomal RNA", at positions 1157 to 1992 of the family's 2925-position model. The record is from RNAcentral. Lineage: Eukaryota; Glaucocystophyceae; Gloeochaetales; Gloeochaetaceae.
UCCUGCGCGGAAGAUGUAACGGGGCUAAGCCAGUAACCGAAGCUGCGGAUGUGCGCGUAAGCGCACGUGGUAGGAGAGCGUUCCGUAAGCCUGUGAAGGUGGGUUGAGAAGCCUGCUGGAGGUAUCGGAAGUGCGAAUGCUGACAUGAGUAGCGAUAAAGAGGGUGAGAUGCCCUCUCGCCGAAAUCCCAAGGGUUCCUGCUUAAAGCUAAUCUGAGCAGGGUAAGCCGGCCCCUAAGACGAGCCCGAAGGGGGUAGUCGAUGGGAACCACGUUAAUAUUCGUGGGCCUGGUGGUGUGUGACGGUUUGCGUAAGUUGUCUGUCCUUAUUGGAUUGGUCAGGCUUCGAAGCAGAUCCAGGAAAUAGCCCCACCGUAUAGACCGUACCCGAAACCGACACAGGUGGUCAGGUAGAGUAUACCAAGGCGCUUGAGAGAAGUCUCCUGAAGGAACUCGGCAAAUUGCCUCCGUACCUUCGGAAGAAGGAGGCCCCAACUAAGCGCAAGCUCUGUUGGGGGGCACAGGCCAGGGGGUAGCGACUGUUUAGCAAAAACACAGGGCUCUGCUAAGUCGGCUUCAAGACGACGUAUAGGGCCUGACGCCUGCCCGGUGCCUGAAGGUUAAGUGGAGGGGUGCAAGCUCUGAAAUGAAGCCCAGGUAAACGGCGGCCGUAACAAUAACGGUCCUAAGGUAGCGAAAUUCCUUGUCAGGUAAGUUCUGACCCGCA